RNAcentral lists this unclassified non-coding RNA (329 nucleotides) under soil metagenome. Its description in RNAcentral is "partial contains 5.8S ribosomal RNA, internal transcribed spacer 2, and large subunit ribosomal RNA". The stretch from base 1 to 120 matches the Rfam family "5.8S ribosomal RNA", at positions 35 to 154 of the family's 154-position model. The record is from RNAcentral.
GAUGAAGAACGUAGCGAAAUGCGAUAAGUAAUGUGAAUUGCAGAAUUCAGUGAAUCAUCGAAUCUUUGAACGCACAUUGCGCCCCCUGGUAUUCCGGGGGGCAUGCCUGUCCGAGCGUCAUUACAACCCUCAAGCUCAGCUUGGUGUUGGGCCCCGCCGCCCCGGCGGGCCCUAAAGUCAGUGGCGGUGCCGUCCGGCUCCGAGCGUAGUAAUUCUUCUCGCUCUGGAGGUCCGGUCGUGUGCUCGCCAGCAACCUCCAAUUUUUUUCAGGUUGACCUCGGAUCAGGUAGGGAUACCCGCUGAACUUAAGCAUAUCAAUAAGCGGAGGA